This 253-nucleotide ribosomal RNA is filed under the name uncultured bacterium. Its description in RNAcentral is "partial 16S ribosomal RNA". It matches the Rfam family "Bacterial small subunit ribosomal RNA", at positions 524 to 776 of the family's 1533-position model. The record is from RNAcentral.
UACGUAGGCAGCAAACGUUGUUCGGAAUUACUGGGCGUAAAGAGUGUGUAGGCGGCUUUGUUAGUUUGGUGUGAAAUCUCCCGGCUUAACUGGGAGGGUGCGCCGAAUACUGCAAGGCUAGAGUACUGGAGAGGAAAGCGGAAUUCCUGGUGUAGCGGUGAAAUGCGCAGAUAUCAGGAGGAACACCGGUGGCGAAGGCGGGUCUCUGGGCCGAUACUGACGCUGAGGAGCGAAAGCGUGGGGAGCGAACAGG